GGAAGCGCAUGGGGUCCGGUGACCCUUCCGGUCUUCAAAACCGGCGAGACUUAGCUUUGCUGGGUCUGGUGAGUUCGACUCUCACACGCUUCCGCCA
Molecule: transfer RNA, 97 nt
Filed under: Terriglobia bacterium
Lineage: Bacteria; Pseudomonadati; Acidobacteriota; Terriglobia
Also listed under: 2 other names
Description: tRNA-Sec
Rfam family: Selenocysteine transfer RNA
Source: RNAcentral